Molecule: small RNA, 151 nt
Filed under: Sinorhizobium meliloti 2011
Lineage: Bacteria; Pseudomonadati; Pseudomonadota; Alphaproteobacteria; Hyphomicrobiales; Rhizobiaceae
Description: putative ncRNA
Source: RNAcentral
AGCGGGCCAGCCCCAUUGGCGCCGAACGAAUUCGAAGGCGAGAAUGGUAUCGAUCACCAUCGCGCCCGUAAUGGAUACGCCGUAUGCGGGGGCAAGGGCUUCGGAGCUACCGAACAUCAGCAUGAGGGCGAGAACACCGGUCAAAAGGAUG